UAAAGCCCUACCUCUCCUCCCUCGAUCCCCCUAAAACCCUACCUCAACUCCCACCGCAGCUCGGGCCCUCGCCGAUCGCAUCUAGCCUCUGCCGCCGCAGUUCAUCGCCCGUUUUGACGCCGGGAGUAAACCGAGCUUCGUCGCCCAUCGCCGGAGCACGUCGGGCAAAGGAGUUUGACGAGCACAUUCUGCUCGUCUCCAUCGUCUUCAACUACCACCGAGACCACCCUCGAGCUCCCCCUUGCUCCGCCGUAUCGCCCCGACGCCACCGCCGUCCGCCCCGACGACCAUAGCCGCGGCACCGUAAUCGCCCGAGCCGUCGCCGUCAUCUUCGUCCGUCGCCGCUGUCGCUAUUUUUCGGAGUGCGAAGCUUGCUAUCACGAGUCGCUAGCGUUCGAAGACCGUUAGCCAGGCAAGUCAUUUGAUCAUGUUUUGCAAUACCUUUGAUUUGUUGCAUUAGAAUUAUUCCUCCCCACCAUGCAUGCAAUAGGAGAAUUUUAAGUUAUGUUCUUGAGUAGUAUCAUGUGGUAGGUUGAACCCAAUUCCCUUUACCAUUCCCCAGGACGAUGUAGUUUUAUUUUGCUAUGCUCAUAGACGGGGUUGGUUGAGCGAUUCAUAAGGGAGAUGUGAGAGUCAAGAUGAUGACAAUGGACUUCAAA
Long non-coding RNA from Triticum aestivum (bread wheat), 659 nucleotides. RefSeq lists it as uncharacterized. The transcript is spliced from 3 exons. NCBI's taxonomy places the organism in Eukaryota, Viridiplantae, Streptophyta, Magnoliopsida, Poales, Poaceae. The record is from RefSeq and is a predicted model, not a curated record.